UACGGAAGGCAGCAGUGGGGAAUAUUGCACAAUGGGCGAAAGCCUGAUGCAGCUAUGCCGCGUGUAUGAAGAAGGCCUUAGGGUUGUAAAGUACUUUUCAUCGGGGAGGAAAAAAACAAAAACUAAAUAAUUUUUAAUUUUCUUUGACGUUACCCGAAAAAGAAGCACCGGCUAACUCCGUGCCAGCAGCCGCGGUAAUACGGAGGGUGCUAGCGUUAAUCAGAAUUACUGGGCGUAAAGAGCACGUAGGUGGUUUUUUUAAGUUCAGAUGUGAAAUCCCUGGGCUUAACCUAGGAACUGCAUUUUGAAACUGAAAUACUAGAGUAUCGUAGAGGGAGGUAGAAUUCUAGGUGUAGCGGUGAAAUGCAUAGAUAUCUGGAGGAAUACCUGUGGCGAAAGCGGCCUCCUAAACGAAUACUGACACUGAGGUGCGAAAGC
This 438-nucleotide ribosomal RNA is filed under the name uncultured bacterium. RNAcentral describes it as "partial 16S ribosomal RNA". It matches the Rfam family "Bacterial small subunit ribosomal RNA", at positions 340 to 760 of the family's 1533-position model. The record is from RNAcentral.